UGGGGAAUAUUGGACAAUGGGCGCAAGCCUGAUCCAGCAAUGCCGCGUGUGUGAAGAAGGCCUUCGGGUUGUAAAGCACUUUUAUCAGGAGCGAAACGCUGUCGGCUAAUACCCGGCGGAACUGACGGUACCUGAGGAAUAAGCACCGGCUAACUUCGUGCCAGCAGCCGCGGUAAUACGAAGGGUGCAAGCGUUAAUCGGAAUUACUGGGCGUAAAGCGUGCGUAGGCGGUUUCUUAAGUCUGCUGUGAAAUCCCCGGGCUCAACCUGGGAAUGGCAGUGGAUACUGGGAGGCUAGAGUGUGUCAGAGGGUGGUGGAAUUCCCGGUGUAGUGGUGAAAUGCGUAGAGAUCGGGAGGAACAUCAGUGGCGAAGGCGGCCACCUGGGACAACACUGACGCUGAGGCACGAAAGCGUGGGGAGCAAACAGGAUUAGAUACCCUGGUAGUCCACGCCCUAAAGCGAUGCGAACUGGAUGUUGGUCUCAACUCGGAGAUCAGUGUCGAAGCUAACGCGUUAAGUUCGCCGCCUGGGGAGUACGGU
RNAcentral lists this ribosomal RNA (541 nucleotides) under uncultured bacterium. Its description in RNAcentral is "partial 16S ribosomal RNA". It matches the Rfam family "Bacterial small subunit ribosomal RNA", at positions 355 to 886 of the family's 1533-position model. The record is from RNAcentral.